CGUACACUCCUACGGGAGGCAGCAGUGGGGAAUUUUACGCAAUGGGGGAAACCCUGACGUAGCGACACCGCGUGAGCGAAGAAGCCCUUUGGGGUGUAAAGCUCUGUCAGCUGGAACGAAAACAAUGACGGUACCAGCAGAGGAAGCAUCGGCUAACUACGUGCCAGCAGCCGCGGUAAGACGUAGGAUGCGAGCGUUGUCCGGAUUUAUUGGGCGUAAAGAGUUCGUAGGUGGUUUGUUAAGUUUGGUGUUAAAGAUCGGGGCUCAACCCUGGGACUGCACUGAAUACUGGCAGACUCGAGUGUGGUAGAGGCUAGUGGAAUUCCCAGUGUAGCGGUGAAAUGCGUAGAUAUUGGGAAGAACACCGGUGGCGUAGGCGACUAGCUGGGCCAUAACUGACGCUGAGGAACGAAAGCCAGGGGAGCGAAUGGGAUUAGAUACCCCUGUAGUCCCAUG
Molecule: ribosomal RNA, 456 nt
Filed under: uncultured organism
Description: partial 16S ribosomal RNA
Rfam family: Bacterial small subunit ribosomal RNA
Source: RNAcentral